Molecule: ribosomal RNA, 586 nt
Filed under: uncultured bacterium
Lineage: Bacteria
Description: partial 16S ribosomal RNA
Rfam family: Bacterial small subunit ribosomal RNA
Source: RNAcentral
UGGGGAAUUUUGAACAAUGGGCGAAAGCCUGAUCCAGCAAUGCCGCGUGUGUGAAGAAGGCCUUCGGGUUGUAAAGCACUUUUGUCCGGAAAGAAAUCCUUGGCUCUAAUACAGUCGGGGGAUGACGGUACCGGAAGAAUAAGCACCGGCUAACUACGUGCCAGCAGCCGCGGUAAUACGUAGGGUGCAAGCGUUAAUCGGAAUUACUGGGCGUAAAACGUGCGCAGCGGCUUGGCUUAGAACCGAUGUGAAAUCCCCGGGCUCAACCUGGGAACUACAUUGGUGACUGGCAGGCUAGAGUAUGGCAGAGGGGGGUAGAAUUCCACGUGUAGCAGUGAAAUGCGUAGAGAUGUGGAGGAAUACCGAUGGCGAAGGCAGCCCCCUGGGCCAAUACUGACGCUCAUGCACGAAAGCGUGGGGAGCAAAACAGGAUUAGAUACCCUGGUAGUCCACGCCCUAAACGAUGUCAACUAGUUGUUGGGGAUUCAUUUCCUUAGUAACGUAGCUAACGCGUGAAGUUGACCGCCUGGGGAGUACGGUCGCAAGAUUAAAACUUAAAGGAAUUGACGGGGUCAUAGCUGUUUCC